RNAcentral lists this transfer RNA (80 nucleotides) under Knoellia locipacati. RNAcentral's name for it is "tRNA-Ser". The record is from RNAcentral. Lineage: Bacteria; Bacillati; Actinomycetota; Actinomycetes; Micrococcales; Intrasporangiaceae.
AGGUCGCCGGCCCGGCGCGCGGCCUGGAGCACCUCGAGGGUGCCCGUCGCGUUGGCGUGGUGCGAGGCCACGGGGUCCUU